RNAcentral lists this ribosomal RNA (498 nucleotides) under uncultured bacterium. RNAcentral describes it as "partial 16S ribosomal RNA". It matches the Rfam family "Bacterial small subunit ribosomal RNA", at positions 28 to 507 of the family's 1533-position model. The record is from RNAcentral.
GACGAACGCUGGCGGCGUGCCUAAUACAUGCAAGUCGAGCGGACGGAUGGGAGCUUGCUCCCAGACCGUCAGCGGCGGACGGGUGAGUAACACGUGGGCAACCUGCCUGUAAGACUGGGAUAACUCCGGGAAACCGGGGCUAAUACCGGAUAACUCUUUCCCUCACAUGAGGGAAAGCUGAAAGAUGGCAUCUCGCUAUCACUUACAGAUGGGCCCGCGGCGCAUUAGCUAGUUGGUGAGGUAACGGCUCACCAAGGCGACGAUGCGUAGCCGACCUGAGAGGGUGAUCGGCCACACUGGGACUGAGACACGGCCCAGACUCCUACGGGAGGCAGCAGUAGGGAAUCUUCCGCAAUGGACGAAAGUCUGACGGAGCAACGCCGCGUGAGUGAUGAAGGUUUUCGGAUCGUAAAACUCUGUUGUCAGGGAAGAACAAGUACCGGAGUAACUGCCGGUACCAUGACGGUACCUGACCAGAAAGCCACGGCUAACUACGUG